This 295-nucleotide ribosomal RNA is filed under the name uncultured bacterium. Its description in RNAcentral is "partial 16S ribosomal RNA". It matches the Rfam family "Bacterial small subunit ribosomal RNA", at positions 355 to 666 of the family's 1533-position model. The record is from RNAcentral.
UGGGGAAUAUUGGACAAUGGGGGCAACCCUGAUCCAGCAAUGCCGCGUGUGUGAAGAAGGUCUUCGGAUUGUAAAGCACUUUCGACGGGGACGAUGAUGACGGUACCCGUAGAAGAAGCCCCGGCUAACUUCGUGCCAGCAGCCGCGGUAAUACGAAGGGGGCUAGCGUUGCUCGGAAUGACUGGGCGUAAAGGGCGUGUAGGCGGUUUACACAGUCAGAUGUGAAAUCCCCGGGCUUAACCUGGGAGCUGCAUUUGAUACGUGUAGACUAGAGUGUGAGAGAGGGUUUGUGGAA